AAGUACCUUGAUACAAAGGAAGGCACUUUUAUUGUUAUUGUGACAAAAUAAUGCUCAUGCUGGCCAACACUUAUCAGAGAAUGGCUGCCAGCCAGGCUCGCUCUAGGAAAUGUGUGUGCGAGAAUCAUGCAGUUCUUUAGGAGCUGGGUUCUGUGAUCACGAUUCCAGUUUUCACCGGAGGGUGAAUUCUGAACCACCAUCACCCCCACCAAAGGAGCACAGACAGCCGUGGCAGCAACCCCGUCACGUCACGUCCCGGCAUCAGGAGGCAAUGACACCAUUUCCAGUGUGCUCACUGCACAGCCACCAGACCACGUUCCGUCGCGAUGUGCCCCUCUGGCAGCCAUUAGCCACGCUGGUGAGCAGCACGCACCAGCUGUUCCCCGGAAGUGCCUGCACGUCCCAAGCACCCCACAGCCCAGGAGACUGCGGAGCCCUCAGUGGCUUGGCCUCUGUCCCUGACUGCAGUGUGAGCGAGAGCCCGGGUCCCCGCUCCUGGCCAGCAAGGGUGGACGACGACGAGAACGCGUGCUUUCAGAGUCACCUCUCUUGCACUAGCCCGCCCUCUGGGAUGAUUUCAGCUCUGUCGCUGACUUGAUCUACUUGUCUAGACUUUAUCCAUCUGGAAGAGGUGGCGCAAGACUUUCUGGGAGUCAAGAGAGCACUGACGCCCAGACAGGGGUGUCCGUGGGAAGUCCUCCGCAAGCCCUGGCGCAGAGUGCACUUCAGGGCGUGUCUGUUCUCCAUGUUUAAGGGCGGAACCUUAGAUCUGCAGACCCAAGGCCAGCCUUCUCGCCCGGUCACCGUCACCAGAGGUGCGACCUGUAGAGGGAGCUAUAGGGUGGUCGUGCCUGCUACCCCGCUCUGACAAAACACGGUCCGGGCUGCAGCCCAGCGCCGCCGACCAACAGCAGGGCCUGCGGCGUGGCCGGGCAUGGCCAGUGUUGGUGGUGCUGCUCGCGCAGUUGCAAGCUGCCGCCAGGGAGAUGUGCUUCAAAGUGCGCUGUGAGUCGUGGCUCGCCGAUACACUACAUGGGAUCCGGACAGCUCACUGGAGCAUGAUCCGCUGCUUCAGAUUCCAGCUGUCUCAGAAAUGUCAUCCCCGAGAUGGAACUUGGGUCUGUGGUUAGGACCUUGGGGCCAAGGUUCAGGGUUCCCAGGAUCACCCAGGUCUCCUCAGGUGAAAAAUGUCAGUCAAGAUCCAACACCAGCAGGAUACUGACAGUGCUUUUGACCUUGAUGGAGUUGGGGAGCUGAGUUUGUGCCCAGGAACACGGUGAGGACUCCAAACACCACGCAGGCUUUUCAGGGGUGUGAGAAAGGGGGGUGCAGACUGUAGCCUGGGAAGUGAGCAAAUAGUUUCACACUCCAACACGAGGACACCCUGUCACAUAUUGCUUCAGGCAUAGAGAUUUCUAUCAAAUGCAAACCCGACCCUGCGUCCUGUCCUCAUCUACCUUACUCACCAGGCCUGUCACCAUGUGACUUCCGGCUCAUCCCAAAGUCAGGAUGACCUCAAAAGCAUUUGAAUCACUUUGGGACACGAAGGCAGCCAGCACAGCUUAACCGAAGAUGCUUAGGGAAGAAGACUUCCAGAACGGCUUCAGAAAGUGUCAAGAACAAUGGGAUAAGUGUCUGAAGUAAGGGGAGUAUUUUGGCCCCAGGGGUUCAUGAUAAUGUCUUUUUCUGUGAUACAUUUUUUAAAAAAUAAGCACUACCCAUAUUUUUGAUCGCAGCGGUACUCUUGAUUUAAAC
This 1755-nucleotide long non-coding RNA is filed under the name Chinchilla lanigera (long-tailed chinchilla). RNAcentral describes it as "lncRNA (ENSCLAG00000023573.1)". The record is from RNAcentral. Lineage: Eukaryota; Metazoa; Chordata; Mammalia; Rodentia; Chinchillidae.